AUUCUCCACCCAGAGGGGAACCCUCUCCUGACUAUGGGACAUGCACUUAGCCCAGAUCAAUUUGAUUCAAACAGGUAAUAGCAGUUGCCCACAGGUAGCAAAAAGCCUUCUGGGUCCUCCCUUUUUAGACUAGGAGGGAUCCCCUGGAUGAACUGAGCUGCUUUUGAAUGUCUGAAGCUGGAGAGAGUAUCCUUUUCUACUUGUAUGGGGACACAGCAAGUAAAUGUUGGUAACGUGGUCACCUGAUUCUAAGAACAGAAUGGAAUUCCCAUCACUUCUCUGAACCCUUCAAAAACUUUCAAGAUCGACAAUUACCUGCUUUGAGACCUAAGGACCAGCCAAACUUGCUUGAGUUUUAUGCAUAAAAUAUCCUUAAGAUUUCAUAUCCCUUUGAUCUCUGUAUUUUGACUUCAUGAAUGUUCUUGAUUUUUUUGAGCAGGUUCUUGAAUUCUUGAUUGUAUCUAAUCUAAGUGCAAAAUGAAACAAUAUAGGUGAUACCUAUUAUGUAAUUAAUUAGCUUAAUGUGGU
Molecule: long non-coding RNA, 528 nt
Filed under: Marmota monax (woodchuck)
Lineage: Eukaryota; Metazoa; Chordata; Mammalia; Rodentia; Sciuridae
Source: RNAcentral